CUUGGGUCCUUGCCAGCCCAACUUCAUCUUCCAGCCCUUCGCCCCCCUCGCUGUGUGGCUCCGAGGACAUGGGACAUCGCCUGGAGACUGGAACGACGGGCACACCCAGGGACCCAGGCUGCAUUCAAACGCAGCGAAUCAACUUGUGGAAACAGAGCAGGUGCUGCGGAUGCUUCCACCACACGAGGAAAUGUCUGCUGGGUGAUGAAAGGAAGCUACCGAAUAGUGGUCUCACUAUGUAGUCCAGACUGGCUUUGAACUCACAAUGUAGCCAAGGCUGGUCUCAAACUUGCAGCAAUCAUCCUGCCUCAGCCUUCCAAAUGCUGGGAUUACAGGACACAGACUCUUGAUCAGCAGACGCCGUGCUUUCCGGGGGCAUCCUGUUGAUCAGGGACUGGCAGGCAGAAAAACUCAGAGUGCUGCCACCCUGCCUUGGAGCCAGCUGAUUAUGGACUGAAACCUCUACAGACUGUGAGCUAAGUAAACCCUUUCAAAGAAAGAAAGAAAGAAAGAAAGAGUCCAAAACUUACCACUUGUGGGAUACAGCAAAAGGUAUCACAAAUGAAAAUCAGAGUCCCAAAUAGAAAGAAAAGAGAAAUAGGAUAGAACUACAUUUGAAAAGAUAAUAUCUGAGAAUGAUAGACAAACUACAAAUCCAAGAAGCUCAGAAAACUCCAACCAAAAUAAAUCCAAAGAAAUUCAUAUUCCUUUACAUUAAAUUCAUACUACUGUAAGCCAAACACAGAGAAAUUCUUAAAAGCAGUUAAAGUAAGAAACAUUUUUAAGAAGCUACAACUGGAAUGACAGCUGAUUUUUACAAAACAAUGGAAGUCAUAAAAUAAUGGAAGAUCAUCUUUACAAUCGAAAGAGAAAGAAAAUAACUUGACCACAUAGCAUUCCAUACCUACUAAAGAAACUCUUCAGAAAUAAAAGCAACAGCACUUGGGAGGGUAAGGUAGGAGGAUUCCUGAGAGUUCAAGGCCAGCUUGGGCUACAUAGUGAGUUCAAGGGCAGCCUGAACUGCAGAGCGAGACCCUGUGCCCCUACCUCAAACAAAACAAAAGGCAAAAGGAAAUCAUUUUCAGUCAAACAAAAACUGGGACUUAAUGCCAUCAGACAUGCACUCAAUGAAAUAUUAUAGAAACUGAAGUAAAAUGACCGCUGAAAGAAGCAUAGACUCCCAGAAGCAUCAAAGAGCACCAAAAAAGAUAAAUAUGGGAGACGUGAAACACUUGGCUGUUGGAGUCAGUAAUGAUAAUGCCUUUUGUGUUCCAGAACAUACAUAGGAGUGUAAUCCAUGACAGCAAUAGCAUGAAGCACCGAGGGUAAAGGAGUUAAACUGUUCUUAGGCUCUUACGUCAUUUGUCAGUGGUAAAAGUUCAACUUUAGAGCAUGUCAGUCACAAAGAGGCACACUGUGAUCUCUUUCACAAAAAAGUGUAAGACUAACUUGAAAGUUGGUAGAGGACAAAAACAGAAUAAUAGGACACAAGUGACGGUUGUGGUUAUUUCAUGGGAGGGAUUCACUGGAAAUGGGACUGGAAACGGCUUAUAUUCUUCUAUGAGUGGUGGUAAUGUAGGUGUAUUUACAUAAUUUAUGCAUGUAUGUGCAUCUUUCAUAUGUGCUAUAUAUGAUUAUUUAAUUGUAAUAUGUAACUUAGCUAUAAGAAGAUAUGUAUAAUACAGUGAUAUCUCAGUUCAUGAAUGCUUUUCUUUGCAAACAGAAGUGUUUGACAAAAUUCUGUUUUCCUUUGCAAAGUCUGCACUGGGUGACAAACACAACCUCAGCCGUCUUUCCAUCACAAACUCAAAUGUGGCCAUCUUUUCCAAAAUUGUAGAACAGGGCUGGGGGUUUAGCUCAGUAGUUCCGCCGCCUGCCUGGCAGGUGCAAGGUCCCAAGUUCGAUCCCCAGUACCAAAAAAACCAAACAAACAAAAUUGUAGAACAAAUUAAGUUUGAGAACUGAGGUCACACUGUAUAUAGUGAAGUAAUUUAAAAUAAUUAUAAAUAAAUAUUAAAUAUAUGAAC
Molecule: long non-coding RNA, 2027 nt
Organism: Heterocephalus glaber (naked mole-rat)
Lineage: Eukaryota; Metazoa; Chordata; Mammalia; Rodentia; Bathyergidae
Source: Ensembl